AGAGAGGUCUCAGAAUUGGAAGAUGGUUACCUGAAACGCGUAAAGCUUUGAGGGUUCGAAUCCCUCCCUCUCUA
Molecule: transfer RNA, 74 nt
Filed under: Streptococcus alactolyticus
Lineage: Bacteria; Bacillati; Bacillota; Bacilli; Lactobacillales; Streptococcaceae
Description: tRNA-Phe
Rfam family: tRNA
About the family: Transfer RNA (tRNA) molecules are approximately 80 nucleotides in length. Their secondary structure includes four short double-helical elements and three loops (D, anti-codon, and T loops). Further hydrogen bonds mediate the characteristic L-shaped molecular structure. tRNAs have two regions of fundamental functional importance: the anti-codon, which is responsible for specific mRNA codon recognition, and the 3' end, to which the tRNAs corresponding amino acid is attached (by aminoacyl-tRNA synthetases). tRNAs cope with the degeneracy of the genetic code in two manners: having more than one tRNA (with a specific anti-codon) for a particular amino acid; and 'wobble' base-pairing, i.e. permitting non-standard base-pairing at the 3rd anti-codon position.
Source: RNAcentral